This 374-nucleotide ribosomal RNA is filed under the name uncultured organism. RNAcentral describes it as "bacterial SSU rRNA". It matches the Rfam family "Bacterial small subunit ribosomal RNA", at positions 525 to 896 of the family's 1533-position model. The record is from RNAcentral.
CGAGAGGGGGCAAGCGUUGUUCGGGAAUUACUGGGCGUAAAGGGCGCGUAGGCGGCCUGCUAAGUCGAACGUGAAAUCCCUGGGCUCAACCCAGGAACUGCGUCCGAUACUGGUUGGCUUGAAUUCGGGAGAGGGAUGUGGAAUUCCAGGUGUAGCGGUGAAAUGCGUAGAUAUCUGGAGGAACACCGGUGGCGAAGGCGGCAUCCUGGACCGAUAUUGACGCUGAUGCGCGAAAGCCAGGGGAGCAAACGGGAUUAGAUACCCCGGUAGUCCUGGCCCUAAACGAUGAAUGCUUGGUGUGGCGGGUAUCGAUCCCUGCCGUGCCAAAGCUAACGCAUUAAGCAUUCCGCCUGGGGAGUACGGUCGCAAGGCUG